CAUGGCUCAGGAUGAACGCUAGCUACAGGCUUAACACAUGCAAGUCGAGGGGCAGCAUAACGAAGCUUGCUUUGUGAUGGCGACCGGCGCACGGGUGAGUAACGCGUAUCCAACCUUCCCGCGAGUAGGGAACAGCCCGGCGAAAGUCGGAUUAAUGCCCUAUGUUCUCCGAUGACGGCAUCAGAGUUGGAGUAAAGAUUUAUCGCUUGCGGAUGGGGAUGCGUCUGAUUAGCUUGUUGGCGGGGUAACGGCCCACCAAGGCGACGAUCAGUAGGGGUUCUGAGAGGAAGGUCCCCCACAUUGGAACUGAGACACGGUCCAAACUCCUACGGGAGGCAGCAGUGAGGAAUAUUGGUCAAUGGGCGGAAGCCUGAACCAGCCCAAGUAGCGUGAGGGAUGACUGCCCUAUGGGUUGUAAACCUCUUCUGUUCGGGAAUAAAGUUCGGGACGUGUCCCGUUUUGUAUGUACCGUUCGAAUAAGGACCGGCUAAUUCCGUGCCAGCCGCCGC
This 509-nucleotide ribosomal RNA is filed under the name uncultured bacterium. RNAcentral describes it as "bacterial SSU rRNA". It matches the Rfam family "Bacterial small subunit ribosomal RNA", at positions 18 to 518 of the family's 1533-position model. The record is from RNAcentral.